Molecule: ribosomal RNA, 1156 nt
Filed under: Enterococcus faecium
Lineage: Bacteria; Bacillati; Bacillota; Bacilli; Lactobacillales; Enterococcaceae
Description: bacterial SSU rRNA
Rfam family: Bacterial small subunit ribosomal RNA
Source: RNAcentral
ACCUGCCCAUCAGAAGGGGAUAACACUUGGAAACAGGUGCUAAUACCGUAUAACAAUCAAAACCGCAUGGUUUUGAUUUGAAAGGCGCUUUCGGGUGUCGCUGAUGGAUGGACCCGCGGUGCAUUAGCUAGUUGGUGAGGUAACGGCUCACCAAGGCCACGAUGCAUAGCCGACCUGAGAGGGUGAUCGGCCACAUUGGGACUGAGACACGGCCCAAACUCCUACGGGAGGCAGCAGUAGGGAAUCUUCGGCAAUGGACGAAAGUCUGACCGAGCAACGCCGCGUGAGUGAAGAAGGUUUUCGGAUCGUAAAACUCUGUUGUUAGAGAAGAACAAGGAUGAGAGUAACUGUUCAUCCCUUGACGGUAUCUAACCAGAAAGCCACGGCUAACUACGUGCCAGCAGCCGCGGUAAUACGUAGGUGGCAAGCGUUGUCCGGAUUUAUUGGGCGUAAAGCGAGCGCAGGCGGUUUCUUAAGUCUGAUGUGAAAGCCCCCGGCUCAACCGGGGAGGGUCAUUGGAAACUGGGAGACUUGAGUGCAGAAGAGGAGAGUGGAAUUCCAUGUGUAGCGGUGAAAUGCGUAGAUAUAUGGAGGAACACCAGUGGCGAAGGCGGCUCUCUGGUCUGUAACUGACGCUGAGGCUCGAAAGCGUGGGGAGCAAACAGGAUUAGAUACCCUGGUAGUCCACGCCGUAAACGAUGAGUGCUAAGUGUUGGAGGGUUUCCGCCCUUCAGUGCUGCAGCUAACGCAUUAAGCACUCCGCCUGGGGAGUACGACCGCAAGGUUGAAACUCAAAGGAAUUGACGGGGGCCCGCACAAGCGGUGGAGCAUGUGGUUUAAUUCGAAGCAACGCGAAGAACCUUACCAGGUCUUGACAUCCUUUGACCACUCUAGAGAUAGAGCUUCCCCUUCGGGGGCAAAGUGACAGGUGGUGCAUGGUUGUCGUCAGCUCGUGUCGUGAGAUGUUGGGUUAAGUCCCGCAACGAGCGCAACCCUUAUUGUUAGUUGCCAUCAUUCAGUUGGGCACUCUAGCAAGACUGCCGGUGACAAACCGGAGGAAGGUGGGGAUGACGUCAAAUCAUCAUGCCCCUUAUGACCUGGGCUACACACGUGCUACAAUGGGAAGUACAACGAGUUGCGAAGUCGCGAGGCUAAG